CGCAAUGGGCGAAAGUCUGACGGAGCGACGCCGCGUGAUUGAUGAAGUCCCUUUGGGACGUAAAGAUCUUUUAUGAGGGAAGAAGUUUAUUGACGGUACCUCAUGAAUAAGUAGCUUCUAAUCUCGUGCCAGCAGAAGCGGUAAUACGAGAGCUACGAGCGUUAUCCGGAAUUAUUGGGCGUAAAGGGUGCGUAGGUUGUCCUGUUAGUCUUUCGUCAAAUUCCUCGGCUCAACCGGGGACAUGCGGAGGAAACGGCAGGACUAGAAAGUGCGAGAGGCGUACGGAACUCAUGGUGUAGGGGUGAAAUCCGUUGAUAUCAUGGGGAACACCGAAAGCGAAAGCAGUACGCUGGCGCAUGUUUGACACUGAAGCACGAAAGCGU
This 383-nucleotide ribosomal RNA is filed under the name uncultured organism. Its description in RNAcentral is "bacterial SSU rRNA". It matches the Rfam family "Bacterial small subunit ribosomal RNA", at positions 367 to 762 of the family's 1533-position model. The record is from RNAcentral.